GCGGGCAUAGCUCAGUUGGUAGAGCGCGAGCUUCCCAAGCUUGAGGUCGCGAGUUCGACCCUCGUUGCCCGCUCCA
RNAcentral lists this transfer RNA (76 nucleotides) under Pseudomonadota bacterium. RNAcentral's name for it is "Proteobacteria bacterium tRNA-Gly". It matches the Rfam family "tRNA". Rfam says of the family: Transfer RNA (tRNA) molecules are approximately 80 nucleotides in length. Their secondary structure includes four short double-helical elements and three loops (D, anti-codon, and T loops). Further hydrogen bonds mediate the characteristic L-shaped molecular structure. tRNAs have two regions of fundamental functional importance: the anti-codon, which is responsible for specific mRNA codon recognition, and the 3' end, to which the tRNAs corresponding amino acid is attached (by aminoacyl-tRNA synthetases). tRNAs cope with the degeneracy of the genetic code in two manners: having more than one tRNA (with a specific anti-codon) for a particular amino acid; and 'wobble' base-pairing, i.e. permitting non-standard base-pairing at the 3rd anti-codon position. The record is from RNAcentral. RNAcentral also lists the same sequence under 1 other name. Lineage: Bacteria; Pseudomonadati; Pseudomonadota.